This 497-nucleotide ribosomal RNA is filed under the name uncultured bacterium. RNAcentral describes it as "partial 16S ribosomal RNA". It matches the Rfam family "Bacterial small subunit ribosomal RNA", at positions 28 to 507 of the family's 1533-position model. The record is from RNAcentral.
GAUGAACGCUGGCGGCGUGCUUAAUACAUGCAAGUCGAGCGAAAAGACGAGGUUCUUGCUCCUCGGACGUUAGCGGCGGACGGGUGAGUAACAUGAGGAGAACCUACCUACAAGAUUGGGAUAACAUCGGGAAACCGGUGCCAAUACGGGAUAAUAUAUUGAACCGCAGGGUUGAAAAGUGAAAGCGGGUUUGGCUGUCAUCUAUAGAUGGAUCCUCGCCGCAUUAGCUAGUUGGUAAGGUAACGGCUUAGGAAGGCGACAAUGGGUAGCCGACCUGAGAAGGUGAUCGGCGACACUGGGGGUGAGACGCGGUCCAGGCUCCUACGGGAGGCCGCGGUAGGGAAUCUGCGCCAAUGGGCGAAAGCCUGACGGAGCAACGCCGCGUGAGUGAUGAAGGGCUUCGGGUCGUAAAACUCUGUUAUUAGUGAAAAACGAAUGUGUAAGUAACUAUGCACGUCUUGACGGUACCUAAUCAGGAAGCCACGGCUAACUACGUG